RNAcentral lists this ribosomal RNA (461 nucleotides) under uncultured bacterium. RNAcentral's name for it is "partial 16S ribosomal RNA". It matches the Rfam family "Bacterial small subunit ribosomal RNA", at positions 339 to 795 of the family's 1533-position model. The record is from RNAcentral.
CUACGGGACGCUCCAGUCGAGAAUCUUUGGCAAUGGACGAAAGUCUGACCAAGCGACGCCGCGUGCGGGAUGAAGGCCUUCGGGUUGUAAACCGCUGUCAGUUGGGAGGAAAUCACAUGGGGUUCUCUCCAUGUGUUGACCUAUCUUCAGAGGAAGGACGGGCUAAGUUCGUGCCAGCAGCCGCGGUAAGACGAACCGUCCAAACGUUAUUCGGAAUCACUGGGCUUAAAGGGUGCGUAGGCGGCCCUGUAAGUUGGGUGUGAAAUCCCUCGGCUCAACCGAGGAAUUGCGCCCAAUACUGCAGGGCUAGAGGGAGACAGAGGUGAGCGGAACUUGUGGUGGAGCGGUGAAAUGCGUUGAUAUCACAAGGAACACCUGUGGCGAAAGCGGCUCACUGGGUCUCUUCUGACGCUGAGGCACGAAAGCUGGGGGAGCGAACGGGAUUAGAUACCCUAGUAGUC